Molecule: long non-coding RNA, 797 nt
Filed under: Gallus gallus (chicken)
Lineage: Eukaryota; Metazoa; Chordata; Aves; Galliformes; Phasianidae
Description: lncRNA (ENSGALG00010000183.1)
Source: RNAcentral
CCCCGCAGUUCCGCUCCGCCGCCGCCGCCCCCCCCCCACUUCCGUCCCCAUCUUCGGCCACCUCCUGCCCUACCUGCAGCUACAGGCCCCCCAUCUGUACCCGUACCCCAUGGGCGCUUCGGUGCCGCAGGGGAAGUUCCGACCCGCCAAAGGUUCUCUGCCCCCCCGCUCGGAGGCGCCCCCCCUUCUUCCGGCCGCCCCCCCCCGCCGCCCCAUUGGUGGCUGCCCCCUAUUCGUCCUAUGUGCCCUAUGGACCCCCCCUGGUGCCCCCCGUGGGGCAUUACCCCCCCCAGCCGGUGUUCGCCCCGAUGCUGCCGAGCGGGCCGCGGUUGCUGCCGUCGGGCGGCCCCUCCCCCAUCGCUUCGUCCUCCGCCCCCCCUUACGCCGGCGACGGCCCCGCGGCCCCCGCCCUCUACGCCCCACUGCAGCCCUUCCCGCCCCACGCCGCCGCCGCCGCCGCCGCCCCAUUGGCUCCCGCCGCCCCCCCCAGCGGCAGCCAGGCUCCGCCCCACGGCGCCCCAAGCCCCGCCCAGCCCCCCGCGGGUUUCCACGUGGCCACGCCCCCAGGGGGAGGGGCCCAAUCACCUCCGGGCUCUUUGGCUCCACCCACCGGAGCUCCGCCCCCUCCGGCCCCGCCCCCUCCGGCCGCGGCUCCGCCCACCGCCAUAUAUGGACUGCAGCAGCCCCUCCCCCACGGCUAUGGGGGCGUCGCCCAUGUGGGGCAGCCCCACGUCCCCCCCCCCCACGGAGCCGCCCCCCCCCCCCCGUGAUGCUGCUGCCUCCUCCGGGUCCCCCCC